This is an RNA transcript of Cebus imitator (Panamanian white-faced capuchin), 407 nucleotides long. It is a transcript of the gene named 60S ribosomal protein L34-like, with no coding region annotated. The record is from RefSeq and is a predicted model, not a curated record. Lineage: Eukaryota; Metazoa; Chordata; Mammalia; Primates; Cebidae. The transcript has a single exon.
AUGGUCCAGCGUUUGACACACCCAUAUUGUAGGCUUUCCUACAAUACAACCUCUCACAAAACCAAGCUGUCCCGAAGCCCUGGUAAUAGAAUUGUCUACAUUUAUACCAAGAAGGUUGGGAAAGCACCAAAAUCUGCCUGUGGCAUGUGCCCAGGCAGACUUCGAGGGGUUUCUGCUAUAUGACCUCAAGUUCUUAUGAGAUUGUCCAAAACAAAGAAACAUGUCAGCUGGGCCUAUGGUGGUUCCAUGUGUGCUAAAUGUGUUCGUGACAGGACCAAGCAUGCUUUCCUUAUCGAGAAGCAGAAAAUCAUUGUGAAAGUGUUGAAGGCACAAGCACAGAGUCAGAAAGCUAAAUAAAAAAUGAAACUUCUUUGAGUAAUGAAAAUGAAAGGACUUAAAAAAAAAAA